AGAUGGCGACCGACGCACGGGUGAGUAACACGUAUCCAACCUGCCGAUAACUCGGGGAUAGCCUUUCGAAAGAAAGAUUAAUACCCGAUGGUAUAAUCAGACCGCAUGGUCUUGUUAUUAAAGAAUUUCGGUUAUCGAUGGGGAUGCGUUCCAUUAGGCAGUUGGUGAGGUAACGGCUCACCAAACCUUCGAUGGAUAGGGGUUCUGAGAGGAAGGUCCCCCACAUUGGAACUGAGACACGGUCCAA
RNAcentral lists this ribosomal RNA (247 nucleotides) under uncultured bacterium. RNAcentral's name for it is "partial 16S ribosomal RNA". It matches the Rfam family "Bacterial small subunit ribosomal RNA", at positions 86 to 334 of the family's 1533-position model. The record is from RNAcentral.